This 1352-nucleotide ribosomal RNA is filed under the name metagenome. RNAcentral's name for it is "bacterial LSU rRNA". It matches the Rfam family "Bacterial large subunit ribosomal RNA", at positions 1564 to 2925 of the family's 2925-position model. The record is from RNAcentral.
UGAGUGCGAGCUGCUACGGCAGCGAAGUUGGUGAUGUCAAGCUUCCAAGAAAAGCCCUAUACCCGUUAAGGCAUUAUGGCCUGUACCCGAAACCGACACAGGUGGGGUGGUAGAGAAUACCGAGGGGCGCGAGAUAACUCUCUCUAAGGAACUCGGCAAAAUGGCCCCGUAACUUCGGGAGAAGGGGUGCCAGCGAGAGCUGGUCGCAGUGAAGAGGCCCAGGCGACUGUUUACCAAAAACACAGGUCUCCGCUAAGUCGCAAGACGAUGUAUGGGGGCUGACGCCUGCCCAGUGCCGGAAGGUUAAGGAAGUUGGUCAGCGUAAGCGAAGCUAGCGACUGAAGCCCCGGUGAACGGCGGCCGUAACGAUAACGGUCCUAAGGUAGCGAAAUUCCUUGUCGGGUAAGUUCCGACCCGCACGAAAGGCGUAACGAUCUGGGCGCUGUCUCGGAGAGAGGCUCGGCGAAAUAGAAUUGUCUGUGAAGAUGCGGACUACGUGCACCCGGACAGAAAGACCCUAUGAAGCUUUACUGUAGCUUGGUAUUGUGCUCGGGCUCGGAAUGCGCAGGAUAGGUGGGAGGCAGUGAACCAUUGCUUGCGGGUGAUGGUGAGCCACUGGUGAGAUACCACUCUUUCCGAGCUAGAGUUCUAACAGCCACCCGUUAUCCGGGGGCUGGACAGUAUCAGGUGGGCAGUUUGACUGGGGCGGUCGCCUCCUAAAAGGUAACGGAGGCGUGCAAAGGUUCCCUCAGGCUGGUUGGAAAUCAGCCGACGAGUGCAAAGGCAGAAGGGAGCUUGACUGUGAGACCUACAAGUCGAACAGGGACGAAAGUCGGCCUUAGUGAUCCGACGGUUCUGCGUGGAAGGGCCGUCGCUCAACGGAUAAAAGUUACUCUAAGGAUAACAGGCUGAUCUCCCCCAAGAGUUCACAUCGACGGGGAGGUUUGGCACCUCGAUGUCGGCUCAUCGCAACCUGGGGCUGAAGUCGGUCCCAAGGGUUGGGCUGUUCGCCCAUUAAAGCGGUACGCGAGCUGGGUUCAGAACGUCGUGAGACAGUUCGGUCCAUAUCCGGUGCACGCGCAGGAAUAUUGAGAGGAUUUCUCCCUAGUACGAGAGGACCGGGAGGAACGCACCUCUGGUGUGCCAGUUAUCGUGCCAACGGUAAACGCUGGGUAGCCAUGUGCGGAGGAGAUAACCGCUGAAAGCAUCUAAGUGGGAAGCCCACCUCAAGAUGAGUAUUCCCAUGGGGUAACCCAGUAAGGUCACGGGAAGAUUACCCGUUGAUAGGCUCUACGUGGAAGCGCAGUAAUGCGUGAAGCGGAGGAGUACUAAUAGACCGAGGGCUUGACAAU